This 75-nucleotide transfer RNA is filed under the name Amborella trichopoda. Its description in RNAcentral is "tRNA AMTR_s00029t00278990". It matches the Rfam family "tRNA". From Rfam's summary of the family: Transfer RNA (tRNA) molecules are approximately 80 nucleotides in length. Their secondary structure includes four short double-helical elements and three loops (D, anti-codon, and T loops). The record is from RNAcentral. Lineage: Eukaryota; Viridiplantae; Streptophyta; Magnoliopsida; Amborellales; Amborellaceae.
CCGGCUUUAGCUCAGUUGGUAGAGCGGAGGACUGUAGAUCCUUAGGUCGCUGGUUCGAAUCCGGCAAGCCGGACC